Molecule: ribosomal RNA, 279 nt
Filed under: uncultured bacterium
Lineage: Bacteria
Description: partial 16S ribosomal RNA
Rfam family: Bacterial small subunit ribosomal RNA
Source: RNAcentral
UGCCAGCCGCCGCGGUAAUACGAAGGGGGCUAGCGUUGUUCGGAAUCAUUGGGUUUAAAGGGUCCGCAGGCGGAUGUAUAAGUCAGUGGUGAAAUCCUACAGCUUAACUGUAGAACUGCCAUUGAUACUGUACGUCUUGAAUUCGGUCGAAGUGGGCGGAAUGUGUAGUGUAGCGGUGAAAUGCAUAGAUAUUACACAGAACACCGAUAGCGAAGGCAGCUCACUAGGCCUGGAUUGACGCUCAGGGACGAAAGCGUGGGGAUCAAACAGGAUUAGAUA